UAUUAAUUUACCUAUAACUAAUCAUAAUUCCAUUAUUUUUACAUAAAAAAAGAGAAUACUUCAAAAUGAGAAGAUCCUGCCAUGGAAAAGACGACUGGGCGGACAUAAAGUGGAAAGGAGGGGAAAUAACUCACACCAUGCAGCAGGACACCUUCAGCUGCGGGGUCUUUGUAAUGCAGAUGGCCAAGGAAGUUGCACAGAACUUCCCCAACAUCCCCUCCAAAACUGAUAUGGAACCUUCAAAAACACAUGGAGCAACUGCGAAAAGAAAUGGCUGAGGAUAUACUAAAAAUGUCUGAGUUCAUCAAAGCCAACAAGUGCUUCAUGUGUGCCACUGAUAAAGAACCUGGAUGUGGCCCAAAGACUGACUGGAAAUGAAGACAAAAGAGUUCAACAGAGUAAAGAACACAAACUGGAAGUGCAGUCUUUGUUGUUGAACAUGUAUGCUAUACCCCAUCCACACUGAAGAGGCUCUGAAAUGUACAUCAACCAGGGAUAAAGAGAAAGUUAACACUGUGAAAUGCUUCAUACUUAAUUGAAGUUAAGUGUCUGUUGACAUGUUGGAAAAGAUUAAAGGUCUACAAUUUCUGUUUAAUUUGUCAAU
RNAcentral lists this long non-coding RNA (604 nucleotides) under Salmo salar (Atlantic salmon). RNAcentral describes it as "lncRNA (ENSSSAG00000102033.1)". Lineage: Eukaryota; Metazoa; Chordata; Actinopteri; Salmoniformes; Salmonidae. The record is from RNAcentral.